GGGUGCGAUCAUACAGGCACUAAUGCACCGGAUCCCAUCAGAACUCCGAAGUUAAACGUGCUUGGGCGAGAGUAGUACUAAGAUGGGUGACCUCUUGGGAAGUCCUCGUGUUGCACCCC
Molecule: non-coding RNA, 119 nt
Organism: Ricinus communis (castor bean)
Lineage: Eukaryota; Viridiplantae; Streptophyta; Magnoliopsida; Malpighiales; Euphorbiaceae
Source: Rfam